GUCGGCUUAUUCAGGUAGAAGGCUACUGGAUUUCAGUGGGAGACAAGGAGCCUACAAUUGAUGAAUCUUACGUUCUGACGUCUCCCGUUAAGCUAAACCUGAAAGAUAUCGUCCGAGUGGUGUCUGCAGGAACCUAUCCUGUACUGAUCCAGGGAGAGACAUUUGUCGGUAAAACAAGCCUGAUCCGCUGGUUGGCUGCAGCUACUGGCAACCACUGCGUGCGGAUUAACAACCACGAACACACGGAUAUUCAGGAAUACAUAGGCUGUUACACAUCCAGCUCUUCCGGGAAGCUUGUCUUUAAGGAAGGUGUUCUUAUUGAUGCUAUGAGACGGGGCUACUGGAUUAUUUUAGAUGAAUUAAAUUUGGCGCCUACUGAUGUGCUGGAGGCACUGAAUAGACUGCUGGAUGAUAA
This is a long non-coding RNA of Ochotona princeps (American pika), 415 nucleotides long. RefSeq lists it as uncharacterized. The record is from RefSeq and is a predicted model, not a curated record. NCBI's taxonomy places the organism in Eukaryota, Metazoa, Chordata, Mammalia, Lagomorpha, Ochotonidae. The transcript has 3 exons.